RNAcentral lists this long non-coding RNA (686 nucleotides) under Homo sapiens (human). RNAcentral describes it as "long non-coding RNA NONHSAT152870.1". The record is from RNAcentral. Lineage: Eukaryota; Metazoa; Chordata; Mammalia; Primates; Hominidae.
CCUCCACCAGCGGGCAUUUUUGCGCUCACGCGCGACUGCUCCAGGCUGUCAUUGCUCUCCUGACCGUCUACGAGAAGACUGGGAAACUUGAGAGAGCUUGGCGAACUCCUUGAGGACAUGGGCUUUGUUUUCUGUUCCAUUUUACCCUCCACUGUGCCUUCGCAGUCCUGGAAGAGUCCUCCCUUCCACCCCGGAUAUCACUGUGAACCCAUGAAACUAAAGGGAUUUGUGCUUGCUGAGUAAGAGCUUCUACAAGGAUUCCCCAGGAUCAACCAUCUGAGCAGAUACCUUGGAAUGUCCCCAGAUUUCAGACAGUCUGUCAACUUGGGCGUGCAAACAACCAUCCUAAGAGCCUUUCUUGCUCUGAUAGGGAGAAAAAAAGGCUUCGGGGGCUACCAGAGGAGAAGAGGCCAUCUCACUAAUGAAGGCUGAAAAAAACCACAGCUGAAAGCCUCGGACCAGCAGCAACACACUCUGAAGUAGGUCUCAGAAGACAAAAAGCUGAAAUCAACUCAUGCUUCCUGCUACACAGAAUCCACUGAGAGGAAAAGGAAACUUCACCGAAACUUCAGAAAGCUACAGAAAUGACAUCCAUUUUCACAAUCCCAGAAGGAAAGAUGCAUCUGAAGGGAAUAAAAACAGAGCAAUGGAAGAGUAUUUGUUAAAAUAAAUGGCUUUGACAGGGC